This 149-nucleotide non-coding RNA is filed under the name Gorilla gorilla gorilla (western lowland gorilla). Lineage: Eukaryota; Metazoa; Chordata; Mammalia; Primates; Hominidae. The record is from Rfam by way of RNAcentral.
GCUGGGCGUGGUGGUGGGCGCCUGUAAUCCCAGCUACUCAGGAGGCUGAGGCAGGAGAAUUGCUUGAACCCAGGGAGGCAGAGGUUGCAGUGAGCCAAGAUUAUGCUACUGCACUCCAGCCUGGGCGACAGAGCAAGACUCUGUCUCAA